UUGGAGGGCAAGUCUGGUGCCAGCAGCCGCGGUAAUUCCAGCUCCAAUAGCGUAUAUUAAAGUUGUUGCAGUUAAAAAGCUCGUAGUUGAAUUUCGGGACCAUCAUGUCGGUCGUGCCUCGGUACGUACUGGCAUUGUUGGUUUCUCCCUUCUGACGAACCAUGAUGUCAUUUAUUUGGUGUUGUGGGGAAUCAGGACUGUUACUUUGAAAAAAUUAGAGUGUUUAAAGCAGGCUCACGCUUGAAUACAUUAGCAUGGAAUAAUGAAAUAGGACGUUUGAUUCUAUUUUGUUGGUUUUUAGGAUCGACGUAAUGAUUAAUAGGGAUAGUUGGGGGCAUUAGUAUUCAAUUGUCAGAGGUGAAAUUCUUGGAUUUAUUGAAGACUAACUACUGCGAAAGCAUUUGCCAAGGAUGUUUUCAUUAAUCAAGAACGAAAGUUAGGGGAUCGAAGACGAUCAGAUACCGUCGUAGUCUUAACCAUAAACUAUGCCGACUAGGGAUCGGAUGAUGUUAAUUUUUUAAUGACUCAUUCGGCGCCUUACGGGAAAC
RNAcentral lists this ribosomal RNA (548 nucleotides) under uncultured Glomeromycotina. Its description in RNAcentral is "SSU rRNA". It matches the Rfam family "Eukaryotic small subunit ribosomal RNA", at positions 548 to 1098 of the family's 1831-position model. Lineage: Eukaryota; Fungi; Glomeromycota. The record is from RNAcentral.